Molecule: ribosomal RNA, 478 nt
Filed under: uncultured bacterium
Lineage: Bacteria
Description: partial 16S ribosomal RNA
Rfam family: Bacterial small subunit ribosomal RNA
Source: RNAcentral
AUGAACGCUAGCGGGAGGCCUAACACAUGCAAGCCGAGCGGUAGAGUUUCUUCGGAAACUUGAGAGCGGCGCACGGGUGCGUAACACGUGUGCAACCUACCUUUAUCUGGGGGAUAGCCUUUCGAAAGGAAGAUUAAUACCCCAUAAUAUAAUGAUUGGCAUCAAUUAUUAUUGAAAACUCCGGUGGAUAGAGAUGGGCACGCGCAAGAUUAGAUAGUUGGUGAGGUAACGGCUCACCAAGUCAAUGAUCUUUAGGGGUCCUGAGAGGGAGAUCCCCCACACUGGUACUGAGACACGGACCAGACUCCUACGGGAGGCAGCAGUGAGGAAUAUUGGACAAUGGGUGGGAGCCUGAUCCAGCCAUCCCGCGUGAAGGAUGACGGUCCUAUGGAUUGUAAACUUCUUUUGUACAGGGAUAAACCUACCCUCGUGAGGGUAGCUGAAGGUACUGUACGAAUAAGCACCGGCUAACUCCGUG